CAGCCGCCGCGGUAAUACGGGGGGUGCAAGCGUUAUUCGGAAUUAUUGGGCGUAAAGGGCGCGUAGGCGGUCUUUUAAGUCAGAUGUGAAAGCCCGGGGCUCAACCCCGGAAGUGCAUUUGAAACUAAGGGACUUGAGUAUGGGAGAGGGAAGUGGAAUUCCUGGUGUAGAGGUGAAAUUCGUAGAUAUCAGGAGGAACACCGGUGGCGAAGGCGACUUCCUGGGCCAAUACUGACGCUAAGGCGCGAAGGCGUGGGGAGCAAACAGGAUUAGAUACCCUGGUAGUCCACGCAGUAAACGGUGAACACUAGGUGUAGCGGGUAUUGACCCCUGCUGUGCCGUAGCUAACGCAUUAAGUGUUCCGCCUGGGGAGUACGGUCGCAAGAUUAAAGCUCAAAGGAAUUGACGGGGGCCCGCACAAGCGGUGGAGCAUGUGGUUUAAUUCGACGCAACGCGAAGAACCUUACCUGGAUUUGACAUCCCGAGAAGUCUUUUGAAAGAUAGAUGUGCCCUUCGGGGAACUCGGUGACAAGUGCUGCAUGGCUGCCGUCAGCUCGUGUCGUGAGAUGUUGGGUUAAGUCCCGCAACGAGCGCAACCCCUAUCUUUAGUUACCAUCAAUUCGGUUGGGGACUCUAGAGAUACUGCCCCGGUUAACGGGGAGGAAGGUGGGGAUGACGUCAAGUCCUCAUGGCCUUUAUGUCCAGGGCUACACACGUGCUACAAUGGGCUGUACAAAGGGUCGCAAUCCCGCGAGGAUGAGCCAAUCCCAUAAAGCAGCUCUCAGUUCGGAUUGGAGUCUGCAACUCGACUCCAUGAAGCUGGAAUCGCUAGUAAUCGUGGAUCAGCAUGCCACGGUGAAUACGUUCCCGGGCCUUGUACACACCGCCCGUCACACCAUGAGAGUUGGCUGUACCAGAAGUUGUUGGACCAACCCCUGAUUUAUCAGAGGAGGUAGGCACCUAAGGUAUGGUUGGCGAUUAGGGUGAAGUCGUAACAAGGUAACCGUA
RNAcentral lists this ribosomal RNA (1008 nucleotides) under uncultured delta proteobacterium. RNAcentral's name for it is "bacterial SSU rRNA". It matches the Rfam family "Bacterial small subunit ribosomal RNA", at positions 509 to 1504 of the family's 1533-position model. The record is from RNAcentral. Lineage: Bacteria; Deltaproteobacteria.